Long non-coding RNA from Pseudophryne corroboree (corroboree frog), 1637 nucleotides. RefSeq lists it as uncharacterized. The record is from RefSeq and is a predicted model, not a curated record. The transcript is spliced from 4 exons. NCBI's taxonomy places the organism in Eukaryota, Metazoa, Chordata, Amphibia, Anura, Myobatrachidae.
UAUAAUGUGUUAUAAGGUCCAUGACUGUGGCAGAUCUCUACUUUGUGAUGUAAUAUGAAUAUACUGCACUACUGUGACGUACAGUAAUGUGAAUAAGGUGCUCUACUGUGUGACACAGCGUGAAGAGGGCAAUACUGUGAAGUGAAUAAACUGCACUACUGUGACGUGAAUAAGAUGGAUUCAGUACCACAUGCCCCACCCACCCAGGAACAUGCCGGGCAGGAAGAGGGAAGCUCCAGAAGUGACCGCCUCGUUAUUGAUACGGAGGCAGAGGAGGCGGAUGAGAUGGGGGAGCCUUCAGGCCAGCCUGGGGGAAAAAGAUACCACGCAGAGAUGCAAUGGAUGGCAAAAGGGUGAAACUGAAACUUACCAACUGCUUUAUGCCUUCAAAUGUCCACAUGCCAGUCAGACAGAUACUGCAUUCGGUCAACGCUGUUGUGAAAAGUGCCUUCUUCACCUGUGUGCCCAUAGCACUAGGCAGUGAUGCAAGGGAAACAUGGGGCCAGAAUGAGAGAUUUUCUGCUUGAUCUGGUGGAAACAUUUUAAUAACCUCUGCCUAAAAAGAGAAAACACUUCAGGCAGUCAUACUCUAUAUUAGCUUUACAAUGGAAAACCACUUGUGCAUAACAAUUUUUUUUUUUGUUAUCAAUGUCAUAUUUACAACACUGGAUUUAAGGGUUAAGUCUUAUAGAUCCUGCUGUGGUUAUAAUUUACUACUAUCCUAAUCACUUUGACACAUAAAUCAAUUUCCACAAACAGUUAAGUUGAAUACAGAAAUCUGACCUAUUAAGUAAUGCUGCACCACUGUGUAAUGGUAUGUGAAAGCUUUGAACUAUUCAGUUGUUAACACGUUUGACAAAAGAAACUUUUAGAAUAAAAAGGGAGUUUAAUACCUGGUGACCAGAAUCCAGUAAAAAGAGCAGACGUCUAAGUAGUACAGUAAGGUGAGCAAGCUGGCAGGUGUCACUAGGACAUGACUUCACCUGUACACAAACAUCAAAAUAAUCACUUUAAUAGUCUACAUACAAACAAUUUAUUAUAGUUAGAUACAUAGAGAGAGAGAAAGAGAGAGAUAGAUAGAUAUAUCAUAAUGAGAUAUUUUGUGGAUAGGACCUACAGUAAGUGUAAACACGAAAUGCAUUUAUGUUUCAUACACAAAUGACCUGAAGGUCAUUUUGUACAAUAAUUUAGUACAUAAAACAAAGGUUGCAUACAUACAUGAAACCCAUUUGUUUCAUAUGUACUUUAUACACAUAGCCUGAAGGUAAUUUUAGACAAUAUUCAUAAUAAUUGUGUGUGAAACAAAGUUUGUGUACAUAUUUUGCAUAUGGCAGACCAACAUUUUACAUUUUAUCAGGGUUGGGAAAAAAAUGAAAAGUUAAUAUAUCUGAUGCAUAUAGUCACAUAUUUACUUAAUCAAUAGGACUAACACAGAUGAGGUAAUGGACCAGAUUCAGAUCUUAAUACAUUAGUAAGCUAAGCAGAACCUGAGACAUCACUUAAAUGGACAGAAAAGUUGGUCAUAAAUAAUUAAAUAUUAAAUGGCAGCUAUAAAUUAUAUUCUUUAGGUCUCAAUUGGUUUAUCUUAUGAUAGUAACAUAGUAAUUGAUAUAAAUGUAAUAAAGAGGCAAAAUGCC